This 506-nucleotide ribosomal RNA is filed under the name uncultured bacterium. RNAcentral describes it as "bacterial SSU rRNA". It matches the Rfam family "Bacterial small subunit ribosomal RNA", at positions 1 to 524 of the family's 1533-position model. The record is from RNAcentral.
UAGAGUUUGAUCCUGGCUCAGGACGAACGCUGGCGGCGUGCUUAACACAUGCAAGUCGAACGAUGAACCUGGAGCUUGCUCUAGGGAAUUAGUGGCGAACGGGUGAGUAACACGUGAGUAACCUGCCCUUGACUCUGGGAUAACCUCCGGAAACGGAAGCUAAUACCGGAUAUGACGCACGGAGGCAUCUCCUGUGCGUGGAAAGAACUUCGGUCAAGGAUGGACUCGCGGCCUAUCAGGUAGUUGGUGAGGUAACGGCCCACCAAGCCUACGACGGGUAGCCGGCCUGAGAGGGUGACCGGCCACACUGGGACUGAGACACGGCCCAGACUCCUACGGGAGGCAGCAGUGGGGAAUAUUGCACAAUGGGCGCAAGCCUGAUGCAGCAACGCCGCGUGAGGGACGACGGCCUUCGGGUUGUAAACCUCUUUUAGUAGGGAAGAAGCGAAAGUGACGGUACCUGCAGAAAAAGCACCGGCUAACUACGUGCCAGCAGCCCCGGUCAA